Molecule: transfer RNA, 76 nt
Filed under: Oscillospiraceae bacterium OttesenSCG-928-F05
Lineage: Bacteria; Bacillati; Bacillota; Clostridia; Eubacteriales; Oscillospiraceae
Description: tRNA-Thr
Rfam family: tRNA
About the family: Transfer RNA (tRNA) molecules are approximately 80 nucleotides in length.
Source: RNAcentral
GCUCUCAUAGCUCAGUCGGCAGAGCGCAUCCUUGGUAAGGAUGAGGUCGGCAGUUCGAAUCUGCCUGAGAGCUCCA